GGGGCCCGAAGCAUUUACUUUGAGAAAAUUCGAGUGUUCAAAGCAGGCCGGCCGCUGGCACACUGCAGCUGUGAAUAAUGGAAUAGGACUCCGGUUCUGUUUUGUUGGUUUUCAGAAACGGGGCCAUGAUUAAGAGGGAUGGCCGGGGGCAUUCGUAUUGUGCCGCUAGAGGUGAAAUUCCUGGACCGGCGCAAGACAGCCUAGAGCGAAAGCAUAUGCCAAAGAUGGCAUG
RNAcentral lists this non-coding RNA (232 nucleotides) under Antrostomus carolinensis (chuck-will's-widow). RNAcentral's name for it is "Caprimulgus carolinensis (chuck-will's-widow) Eukaryotic small subunit ribosomal RNA". It matches the Rfam family "Eukaryotic small subunit ribosomal RNA", at positions 738 to 972 of the family's 1831-position model. The record is from Rfam by way of RNAcentral. Lineage: Eukaryota; Metazoa; Chordata; Aves; Caprimulgiformes; Caprimulgidae.